RNAcentral lists this ribosomal RNA (439 nucleotides) under uncultured bacterium. RNAcentral's name for it is "bacterial SSU rRNA". It matches the Rfam family "Bacterial small subunit ribosomal RNA", at positions 338 to 795 of the family's 1533-position model. The record is from RNAcentral.
CCUACGGGUGGCUGCAGUGGGGAAUAUUGCACAAUGGGGAAACCCUGAUGCAGCGACGCCGCGUGAAGGAAGAAGGUUUUCGGAUCGUAAACUUCUAUCAGCAGGGAAGAAAAUGACGGUACCUGACUAAGAAGCCCCGGCUAACUACGUGCCAGCAGCCGCGGUAAUACGUAGGGGGCAAGCGUUAUCCGGAAUCACUGGGUGUAAAGGGUGCGUAGGCGGUGAGGUAAGUCAGAUGUGAAAGCCCGAGGCUCAACUUCGGGAUUGCAUUUGAAACUGCCCCACUAGAGUGCAGGAGAGGAAAGUGGAAUUCCUAGUGUAGCGGUGAAAUGCGUAGAUAUUAGGAGGAACACCAGUGGCGAAGGCGGCUUUCUGGACUGUAACUGACGCUGAGGCACGAAAGCGUGGGGAGCGAACAGGAUUAGAUACCCUAGUAGUC